GACGAACGCUGGCGGCGUGCUUAACACAUGCAAGUCACGGGGGCCCGCAAGGGUAACCGGCGAACGGGUGCGUAACACGUGAACAAUCUGCCUAGAUGUGGGGGAUAGCCGGCCCAACGGCCGGGUAAUACCGCAUACGCUCUUCGGGUGGCAUCACUUGAAGAGGAAACCUCCGGGGCAUCUAGAGGAGUUCGCGGCCUAUCAGCUAGUUGGUGGGGUAACGGCCUACCAAGGCAAUGACGGGUAGCUGGUCUGAGAGGAUGGCCAGCCACAUUGGGACUGAGAUACGGCCCAGACUCCUACGGGAGGCAGCAGUGGGGAAUAUUGCGCAAUGGCCGAAAGGCUGACGCAGCGACGCCGCGUGGGGGAUGAAGCAUUUCGGUGUGUAAACCCCUGUUGCUCGGGACGAACAAGCGAUUUCGAUCGCUCUGACGGUACCGGGUGAGGAAGCACCGGCUAACUCCGUGCCAGCCGCCGCUGUAA
Molecule: ribosomal RNA, 483 nt
Filed under: uncultured bacterium
Lineage: Bacteria
Description: partial 16S ribosomal RNA
Rfam family: Bacterial small subunit ribosomal RNA
Source: RNAcentral